UGAACCAGAAAGUCAUGGGUUCGAUUCCCAGUUAGGGCACAUGCCCAGGUUGUGGCUCAAGCCCCUGUGUGGGGCAUGCAGGAGGCAGCCAAUCAAUGAUUCUCUCUCAUCACUGAUGUUUCUAUUUUUCUCUCCCUCUCCUUUCCUCUCUGAAAUCAAUAAAAACAAAUUAAAA
Molecule: long non-coding RNA, 175 nt
Organism: Pipistrellus kuhlii (Kuhl's pipistrelle)
Lineage: Eukaryota; Metazoa; Chordata; Mammalia; Chiroptera; Vespertilionidae
Exons: 2
Source: RefSeq, a predicted model, not a curated record